AGACUCCCGUGGAUGACAUGCUGCAGACACCAGGACAGUCAACAGUACUCGGAGUCGUCUCUUCAUAUGGUAAGUACCCCUUUCAAGCCACCGCUGGACUACGAGGGACGGCGCGGGAGUACCGCCGUCGCGCGAAAAGUGCAACAAGGCAAGUGUCUGAGCAGUUCCUUGGCCAGGCGUUAGGCGCGGCUUGGUGUUAGGAUGUUUACUAACUCUUUCCCUUUCAGAGGCCCAUGGAACUAAUUCAUUCUCCAAAAAAAGUCUUUUCAGGAAUAUGUCCUUCCAGUAACUUUCAGAAAGGAGUUGGAAGCUUCUAAAACUGCAGCAGGAUUCACAAGCAUAUAUAGAUCCCUUCACUUGGAUACUUUCUUCAUCUGGGAUUAAUAGACAAAGGGACACAUUCAUGAAUCAGAUGAAAUAUGUUGAGUGAAGACCAGAUUCGUGGAGUGAAUUCUUCUCGUUAUUCACAGAAGAGUAAACAUAAGAUGCCAACACAACAUUGCCCGCCAGACGCACAGGAUG
Long non-coding RNA from Eriocheir sinensis (Chinese mitten crab), 522 nucleotides. RefSeq lists it as uncharacterized. Lineage: Eukaryota; Metazoa; Arthropoda; Malacostraca; Decapoda; Varunidae. The record is from RefSeq and is a predicted model, not a curated record. The transcript has 3 exons.